CACGUAGGGGGCUAGCGUUGUCCGGAAUCAUUGGGCGUAAAGCGCGUGUAGGCGGCCAGAUAAGUCCGGUGUGAAAGUCAAAGGCUCAACCUUUGAAUGCCGCUGGAAACUGUCUGGCUAGAGUCCGGAAGGGGAGAGUGGAACUCCUGGUGUAGCGGUGAAAUGCGCAGAUAUCAGGAAGAACACCUAUGGCGAAGGCAGCUCGCUGGGACGGUACUGACGCUGAGACGCGAAAGCGUGGGGAGCGAACAGG
Molecule: ribosomal RNA, 253 nt
Filed under: uncultured bacterium
Lineage: Bacteria
Description: partial 16S ribosomal RNA
Rfam family: Bacterial small subunit ribosomal RNA
Source: RNAcentral